RNAcentral lists this transfer RNA (86 nucleotides) under Patescibacteria group bacterium. Its description in RNAcentral is "tRNA-Leu". It matches the Rfam family "tRNA". From Rfam's summary of the family: Transfer RNA (tRNA) molecules are approximately 80 nucleotides in length. Their secondary structure includes four short double-helical elements and three loops (D, anti-codon, and T loops). The record is from RNAcentral.
GCCGGAAUGGCGGAAUUGGUAGACGCAGAGGACUUAAAAUCCUCCGGAGUUAAUCCUCCGUGCCGGUUCGAUUCCGGCUUUCGGCA